Camellia sinensis is the source of this 315-nucleotide non-coding RNA. NCBI's taxonomy places the organism in Eukaryota, Viridiplantae, Streptophyta, Magnoliopsida, Ericales, Theaceae. The record is from RefSeq and is a predicted model, not a curated record.
UGCACGUUGCUGGCCACCGUUCCUCUCCACCGUCGCACAUCACCACCGCCACCGCUGGAAAUCACCACCGCCACUACCGCAAAUAAUAGGUUUUUGUCCCUCUAUCUCUGUCACUCCCGGUCCUCUCCCUCUCUGUCGAUCUGGAUGGCUUUUGGCAUAGACAUGUGGAUCUUCUAUUUUUGUGUAUAGAGGAUAAUUUACACUUUUGAACUGUCCCACUUUUUUGUCGUCCUCUACUUUUUGUGUGGAAUUUAGAUGAAUUGUACAUAUAACUUUUGGUGAGGUACAUAAUACUUUUGACAUCGAACUUGUAUU